GAUUUGAACAGGUGUCCAUUUACUUGGACCCAACUUCUCAAUUCUAACUUUGUGCAUCUGUAUUAAUGGCGAGCAACUUCGGUUGUGAGCCUUCACUUACAAAACACUAGUCUAUGAAUGUAAAAUUUUUAUAACAAAUAAAAACUUUCAACAACGGAUCUCUUGGCUCUCGCAUCGAUGAAGAACGCAGCGAAAUGCGAUACGUAAUGUGAAUUGCAGAAUUCAGUGAAUCAUCGAAUCUUUGAACGCAUCUUGCGCUCUCUGGUAUUCCGGAGAGCAUGUCUGUUUGAGUGUCAUGAAUUCUUCAACCCAAUCUUUUCUUGUAAUUGAUUGGUGUUUGGAUUCUGAGCGUUGCUGGCGUUUGCCUAGCUCGUUCGUAAUACAUUAGCAUCCCUAAUACAAGUUUGGAUUGACUUGGCGUAAUAGACUAUUCGCUAAGGAUUCGGGGGAAAACAUCGAGCCAACUUCAUUAAGGGAAGCUUCCUAAUUUAAAAGUCUACCCUUUUGAUUAAAUUCUCAAAUCAAGGCAGGAAUUACCCGGCUGAACUUAAGCAUUAUCAAUAAGCCGGGAGAGAGAAAAAUCUUUUUGGAAACAAGGGGGGCCCAAUUUUACUUGAAACCAAACUUCUCAAUUCAAAUUUGAGCACCGGAUUAAAGGCAACACUUCGGUGGGAACCUUCUUUCAAAAACUAGUCAUAAUUAAAAUUUUAAAACAAUAAAACUUUAAAACGGACCCUUGGUCCCCACAAGAAAAACCCCCAAAGGCAAACUAGGGAAUUCGAAAUCCGGAACCCCAACUUUGAACCACCUGCCCCCGGGGAUCCGAAAAACGCGGUUAAGGCCGAAUUUCCCCCCACCUCUUCCUGAAAGAAUGGUGUGGAUACAACGCGUGCGGGGGUUGCACCUCCAAACAUAACCCCAAACACAUUUGAGACUGGCGAAAAAUAUCGAAAGCUGGGAAACGGCCCUUUUAGGAGCCCCAUUAGAGCCCCUCUGUGAUAACCCAUUCAGGGAAUACCACCGCAGCAGAUAAAUAUAAAGAUGCAGGAGAGAGAAAAUU
RNAcentral lists this ribosomal RNA (1060 nucleotides) under Sporobolomyces pararoseus. RNAcentral's name for it is "eukaryotic LSU rRNA". The stretch from base 143 to 296 matches the Rfam family "5.8S ribosomal RNA". Lineage: Eukaryota; Fungi; Basidiomycota; Microbotryomycetes; Sporidiobolales; Sporidiobolaceae. The record is from RNAcentral.